CCUACGGGAGGCAGCAGUCGGGAAUAUUGCGCAAUGGAGGAAACUCUGACGCAGUGACGCCGCGUGCAGGAAGAAGGUUUUCGGAUUGUAAACUGCUUUAGACAGGGAAGAAAAAAGACAGUACCUUUAGAAUAAGCUCCGGCUAACUACGGGCCAGCAGCCGCGGUAAAACGGAGGGAGCAAGCGUUAACCGGAUUUAUUGGGUGGAAAGGGUGCGUAGACGGAGGAGCAAGUUAGUUGGGAAAUCCCUCCGCCUAACCGAGGAACCGCAACUAAAACUACUUUCCUUUAGUACUGGAGAGGGAAGGUGAAUUCCUAGUGUAGCGGUGAAAUGCGUAGAUAUUAGGAGGAACACCAGUGGCGAAGGCGACUUUCUGGACAGUAACUGACGUUGAGGCACGAAAGUGUGGGGAGCAAACAGGAUUAGAUACCCUUGUAGUC
RNAcentral lists this ribosomal RNA (441 nucleotides) under uncultured bacterium. Its description in RNAcentral is "partial 16S ribosomal RNA". It matches the Rfam family "Bacterial small subunit ribosomal RNA", at positions 338 to 795 of the family's 1533-position model. The record is from RNAcentral.